UACGUAGGUGGCAAGCGUUAUCCGGAAUUACUGGGCGUAAAGCGCACGCAGGCGGUCUUUUAAGUUUGACGUGAAAGCUCCCGGCUUAACUGGGAGAGGUCGUUGAAUACUGGAAGACUUGAGGCAAUGAGAGGGGUGUAGAAUUCCCGGUGUAGCAGUGAAAUGCGUAGAGAUCAUGAGGAAGACCAGUGGCGAAGGCGGGUCUCUGGACAGUUCCUGACACUGAGGCACGAAGGCCAGGGGAGCAAACGGG
Molecule: ribosomal RNA, 253 nt
Filed under: uncultured bacterium
Lineage: Bacteria
Description: partial 16S ribosomal RNA
Rfam family: Bacterial small subunit ribosomal RNA
Source: RNAcentral